UGAGAAACCCUGAGAUAAACAUUAAACCAUAUAAUGUAAAAGCUCCUCCGCCAUCUUUACCAGACGUUUUACUGAUAACAUGUAGACCUACUGAUUAGUUUCCACUUUGAAAACUGCUGUCUGUCAGCAACUAAGCUCAUAUAACAGUUCUACUAACUACUACUAGUACUAUAUCUUACUCUGUCCUUUAGAAUGUAUUACUGUUCAGAAAUACUGAGAAAUACUCACUUUAUUUGUCAGUAAUCUCCAUAUAGCGUCUUCUGCUCUGUCGUCUCAAAAUGGAUUCUGUACAAAAGAACAACUUUACUUUCUGUUUCAAUCAGCCGCCUCCCCACCCUGAAAAUAAAGUGUUUUAUUGGUAUCUUCCACUAGAUGGCAGUAAACACCUGCUGUAACUAGAUUUAACAACUAUGUGUUUGGUUUCAUAAAGGCAGUGUCCCAGAGGAGGAGUGCUGAUAUGGUAUCAGGUCCUCCUCUCCAUGUAAUCUGAUUCAUUAUGAUCUAGGAUCAGGUCCUCCUCUCCAUGUAAUCUGAUUC
This 537-nucleotide long non-coding RNA is filed under the name Salmo salar (Atlantic salmon). RNAcentral describes it as "lncRNA (ENSSSAG00000115179.1)". Lineage: Eukaryota; Metazoa; Chordata; Actinopteri; Salmoniformes; Salmonidae. The record is from RNAcentral.